Molecule: ribosomal RNA, 683 nt
Filed under: uncultured bacterium
Lineage: Bacteria
Description: bacterial SSU rRNA
Rfam family: Bacterial small subunit ribosomal RNA
Source: RNAcentral
GAAAGUGUCUUUCGGGAUGCGAGUAAAGUGGCGCACGGGUGAGUAACACGUAAGCAAUCUACCCUUAGGCCUGGGAUAACCCCGAGAAAUCGGGGCUAAUACCGGAUGAUGCAGCGGCACCGCAUGGUGAUGUUGUUAAAGUCUAUAUGGCGUCUAAGGAUGAGCUUGCGUCUGAUUAGCUUGUUGGUAAGGUAACGGCUUACCAAGGCUACGAUCAGUAGCUGGUCUGAGAGGAUGAUCAGCCACACUGGAACUGAGACACGGUCCAGACUCCUACGGGAGGCAGCAGUGAGGAAUAUUGGGCAAUGGGCGAAAGCCUGACCCAGCAACGCCGCGUGGAGGAUGAAUGUCGUAAGAUUGUAAACUCCUGUUAGAGGGGAAGAAUAAUCCCGAUCAAAUCGGGACUUGACUGUACCCUCAGAGAAAGCUCCGGCUAACUACGUGCCAGCAGCCGCGGUAAUACGUAGGGAGCAAGCGUUGUCCGGAUUUACUGGGUGUAAAGGGCGCGCAGGCGGGUCGGUAAGUCAGAGGUGAAAUCCUACAGCUCAACUGUAGAACUGCCUUUGAUACUGCUGAUCUUGAGUAUGGAAGAGAGAGACGGAAUUCCAGGUGUAGUGGUGAAAUACGUAGAUAUCUGGAAGAACACCAGUUGCGAAGGCGGUCUCUUGGUCCAAUACUGACGC